CCUACGGGUGGCAGCAGUCGAGAAUCAUUCACAAUGGGGGAAACCCUGAUGGUGCGACGCCGCGUGGGGGAAUGAAGGUCUUCGGAUUGUAAACCCCUGUCAUGUGGGAGCAAAUUAAAAAGAUAGUACCACAAGAGGAAGAGACGGCUAACUCUGUGCCAGCAGCCGCGGUAAUACAGAGGUCUCAAGCGUUGUUCGGAAUCACUGGGCGUAAAGCGUGCGUAGGCUGUUUCGUAAGUCGUGUGUGAAAGGCGCGGGCUCAACCCGCGGACGGCACAUGAUACUGCGAGACUAGAGUAAGGGAGGGGGAACCGGAAUUUUCGGUGUAGCAGUGAAAUGCGUAGAUAUCGAGAGGAACACUCGUGGCGAAGGCGGGUUCCUGGACAUUAACUGACGCUGAGGCACGAAGGCCAGGGGAGCGAAAGGGAUUAGAUACCCUUGUAGUC
Molecule: ribosomal RNA, 446 nt
Filed under: uncultured bacterium
Lineage: Bacteria
Description: partial 16S ribosomal RNA
Rfam family: Bacterial small subunit ribosomal RNA
Source: RNAcentral